RNAcentral lists this long non-coding RNA (261 nucleotides) under Chinchilla lanigera (long-tailed chinchilla). RNAcentral's name for it is "lncRNA (ENSCLAG00000025846.1)". The record is from RNAcentral. Lineage: Eukaryota; Metazoa; Chordata; Mammalia; Rodentia; Chinchillidae.
AUUCUAGCCUGGGCCGCCUCAUCCCAAAGCCUGUGCUAUCCUCAUUAUUAGCAGAAGCAGGACAGAAGGAAAAACAGCCCGAAAGAGCUCACCCUUGUAAUGCUUGGCUCCUCUCCAGUCUCCCUGCUAACAAUACCAUCUGCACAGGUGCUCAGACAGCAACCAGAGAACACCUUGUCCUGCAGAAUUGUUCACUCAGCUGCCUGGAGUGGGUUGAGCUCUCACUCUAAGCCACAAUCAAGAAGUUCCCCUUCCAAGUGA